CUGCCUAUGUGCGGUCGGCACCCUCCCGAGUGCAGGCACUGCACACAGCCUACCAUGUGCUGCGCCAGAUGGAGAGCGGCAAGGUGGUGCUCCCUGAUGAGGUGUGUUACCGGGUACUGAUGCAGCUCUGCUCACACUAUGGGCAGCCUGUGCUGUCUGUGCGGGUCAUGCUGGAGAUGCGUCAGGCAGGCAUUGUGCCCAACACCAUCACCUAUGGCUACUACAAUAAGGUACCUACUUUGGGGUGAGGGGUGGGAUGGCAGCUGUGCCAGGGUGUGUGAGGGGAGGCUGCUGCUGCUCCCCUCGCUCCUUGGAGAUUGGGCUGGUACUGUUUGCCUAGGUCCUGGAACCACUGUCAUCCACAUUGCACUCCUGUGGUGCCUUAGCACCUACAGUUUCUCAGACGAGGCUGCUUUGAUUCCCACUCAUGACAGCCCUGCCUACAACUAAUAGUUU
RNAcentral lists this small RNA (456 nucleotides) under Pan troglodytes (chimpanzee). RNAcentral describes it as "retained intron". Lineage: Eukaryota; Metazoa; Chordata; Mammalia; Primates; Hominidae. The record is from RNAcentral.